CAGUCGCCGCGGGAAUACGGAGGGGGCUAGCGUUGUUCGGAAUUACUGGGCGUAAAGCGCACGUAGGCGGCUUUGUAAGUUAGAGGUGAAAGCCUGGGGCUCAACUCCAGAAUUGCCUUUAAGACUGCAUCGCUUGAACGUCGGAGAGGUGAGUGGAAUUCCGAGUGUAGAGGUGAAAUUCGUAGAUAUUCGGAAGAACACCAGUGGCGAAGGCGGCUCACUGGACGACUGUUGACGCUGAGGUGCGAGAGCGUGGGGAGCAAACAGGAUUAGAUACCCGAGUAGUCCCUGUCUCUUAUAC
RNAcentral lists this ribosomal RNA (301 nucleotides) under uncultured bacterium. RNAcentral describes it as "partial 16S ribosomal RNA". It matches the Rfam family "Bacterial small subunit ribosomal RNA", at positions 509 to 807 of the family's 1533-position model. The record is from RNAcentral.